UUUUGGGUUUACAUUAGUAUCCUAAUUUGAUCUUUCGUCUUAUUGAUUGGAAUGCUGUUGACCAAAUUGAUUGUAUUUGUGAUACCACUGCUUGUUAUGAAAUAUUAAUGUUACAGUUUUAAAUUAUUGUCCUCCUUAUUGAUUAUUAUAAUAUUGAAAAUUUGCAUUUUAUUCCAACCCAAUCCAUCCAACAAGCAUUCAAUUUUAUACAUAUCUUAAUCUUUAAAAAUAAAUAAAUAAAUAACAACACAUCAUGUUACUUUCCUUAAAGGAACUAAGUAACACAUUUAUUUACUUUUUAAGUUACUUAAGAUUGCAAUAUAUUACUUUACUUUACUUAACUUUACCCAACAUUUAUCACAUGAAUCUAAUUAUUUCAAAACUGAGAAAUUUGCCAAAAAAAGUGUAUAGUUUCAGUCACUUAAGAACACUUUGUUGUUUAACAUCUCUGUCAUAAAAGAGUUGUCAAUUAUUGUAUUUGUGUACUCUUUCACAGAAGUGCAGCACUGAAAUUUAUACUUGGGUUUCUGUGAGAAAUAAAGCUCACUGUAUUUUUAACUUUGAUGAAAAGAACAUUUGCAGUUUUUAAUUUACUCCAACUAAAUAAAAUGUAAGCAAGUCCUACGCAGACAAUCUACUUAUGUUCCAGUGACAUUAUGAUAGGUAGUUCCAUGAUAUGAUAAGUAGUUCCAUGAUAUGAUAGGACUAUGAUAGUUCCAAUGUUACUUAGUGAAUUAGUAAAAUUCUGAAGUAGUCUAUCAAAUACAAUGUUUAUGAAGCUUAGCUUUGAGGCAAUAAAAAUAAAACUGUGGCUUAGUGUUUAAUGAAUGGUUGCAGCAUCUUCAGGUCUUCUUAACAUAAUAAACCACAAAAUAAAUCCGCAUUGGAUUGCUAAUCAAUGUUCAAAAGAUUAUUGAGAUCAUACCCUAAAUUAUUAUUGGGUAGGCUCUGUGUAGAACCACUUUUGAUACUUCUGCAUACAAAAAGCUUAUUUUGUAGCACCCCAUUCCAAGCAAACUUUAUGCAUCAACAGACAAAGAUUUACCCUCAAAACAUAACCAUUCUCUUAACAUUUUUUUUUUCUCUCUCUCUCUGUGCAGAUCAAGCAAAACCCACACCUGCCAAUUCUGACAGAGGAAAUCCUGACUUUAAAACAGUGGAAGGAAAGCAGGGCGGUUCGAGUUCUGUGGUGAUCGCUGUGGUGGUGUGUGUCCUGCUGCUGCUCAUCCUGGUGGCUUCGCUCUUCUUCCUUAAUAAGAAGGGCAAACUAGGCUGCGGGAAGAAGGACCAGAAGGAAGUGGCUUCUGGAGGAGUGAAAGAUAAUAUUGUGGUGGAGAUUAAGCCCAGUGAGAAAAGCAAGGAAGAGGCUGGUCUGCUAAAGCCUGCAGAACAGGUGAGCGGUCAAAGGAAAAAAGAAAAAAAAAAGAAAAAAAAAGAAAAAAAAUAUAUAUGUAUAUAUAUAUAUAUAUAUAUAUAUAUAUAUAUAUAUAUAUAUAUAUAUAUAUAUUAGGGAUGUAUCAGAAUUUCACGGUACGGUAAUACCUCGGUAUGAAUGGCACGGUACGGUAUUUAUUGAAUCAUUAACAGGAAAAACAAAACUAAUGAAAAUACCCCAAAAAAGUGCCAAAAGUGUUUAUUUACCUUAGCACUGAACAUAUCAAUGACAAACAAAUUAGCCAUCUAUCUGUAAGCUUUGAAACAGGAAGUUCAAUUUUUCAAUUUUAAUAACAAAAAAUUAUUAAACCAUGUAAAAAAAUAAAGUUUCAAUUUAGUAUUGUUGAAAACUCAUCACAUUCAACAAAUAAUCACUCACUCAUUCACUUGAAAAGAGAGGGUUUUAAGGAAAAUUAUAUAACUAUAAUCUGGUAAAAGUGGGUAUCUCUGGGCAUUUACAAUGUCCCCUGCAACAGAAAAAAAAACCCUCUCAUUUGGGACUGAGGUUUCUGGGACAGAUAUGACUUGGCCCAGGUUGACAGCAGUGGGUAACGUUGUGCAUUGUCUUUCCCCCACUUGAGAGGACAAGCCAUGAGUGAGAUAGAGGUCUCUUUGCGGUACAAGUCAAUGUCUGCAUCAAUCUGAACAGUGUGCUGUAUUCUGCAGUCCCCAUGACUGUUAUUAGUCGUAUUCCCCAACUUGCAGGCAAGUACACACAUAGGGCUCAACCUGUGCAGUGCACAUGCCCUUUUUAGUCUUGGAUAGAAAGUGCCCUUUCAAAAUGAUCAAAAGUGCCCCUGCGACGCAACACAACCUCCGUCCCGCCCGACGCGACAACACCGCUAUUCAGUACGCGCGCGGCGUCAACAACAACACCCCCAACCGAAAUGCCUCCACACAUCCGAUUUAAAACACGAUUCAUUUCCAGCUCUUUUUCAUCCCCGCUACAAGCAGCACACUCCAUUUCCGCAUUACUGGAUCUGUAGCGACAACAGACAGCAAAGGAUGAUGGCCACGCCUGGGCUAAUGGGAAUUGUAGUUUCCGCUACCUCCCGUUCACUUCAUUCGCCUG
Long non-coding RNA from Danio rerio (zebrafish), 2506 nucleotides. The record is from Ensembl. Lineage: Eukaryota; Metazoa; Chordata; Actinopteri; Cypriniformes; Danionidae.